RNAcentral lists this long non-coding RNA (577 nucleotides) under Homo sapiens (human). RNAcentral's name for it is "ADAM7 antisense RNA 2". The record is from RNAcentral. Lineage: Eukaryota; Metazoa; Chordata; Mammalia; Primates; Hominidae.
AAUGACAUCAGACUGGGCUUGUGCCUGAUAAUUCAUUUCUGAAGGUGCAAUAUUAAGUGUCACAGUGUCCAGCUGGUGAUAUUUUCAGCAUAGAAACCUGUUAGACACGGCAGCAUUAAGGAGAUGGAAUGAAUUGAUUUAUUUCUCUUCUGAAUUGCUUGGCAGUGCUUCAAGAUUGACGCAUCAGAUUUGCACAAUGUGCCACUUUAGGAGAUUAUUUCUUCCUUCCUUCAGCCAGACAGAAGACUGCAGUAGGGAUAUGGUUCCUGUUUGCCUAUUUCCAUCCACAACUCUGCCAGAGACGAAAGCAGUGUUUGAAACAAUUCACCAAGAUUUCCAUCUGGAAUCAUCAAGAAUGGAAUUGAUCAAAUUCCUUAAGAAAUUUACUUAAAGUCAUGAUUUUGACAGCCUAGUGCUACCUGGAAAAGGGACAGCAGCAGCCUGGAGCAGUUUUCUAGCUAACAAGAAUUUUGUUAGCUAUGUGGCCACCUAGUGGCUCUUCCAUGGAUGUCGCUGAUGCAUUGUCAGGUACACAGACAAUUGCCCACUAAUAAAGAAGUUAUUAUCUUUCUUGGAA